Molecule: ribosomal RNA, 643 nt
Filed under: uncultured archaeon
Lineage: Archaea
Description: bacterial SSU rRNA
Rfam family: Archaeal small subunit ribosomal RNA
Source: RNAcentral
UUCCGGUUGAUCCUGCCGGACCCGACUGCUAUCAGAGUGGGACUAAGCCAUGCGAGUCAACGCAGCAAUGCGUGGCAUACGGCUCAGUAACACGUAGUCAACAUGCCCAGGGUGACGUGGAUAACCUCGGGAAACUGAGGAUAAACCGCGAUAGGCCAAGGUUUCUGGAAUGGACACCGGCUGAAACCUACAUGGCCCCUGGAUUGGACUGCGGCCGAUCAGGCUGUUGGUGAGGUAAUGGCCCACCAAACCUGUAACCGGUACGGGCUUUGAGAGAAGGAGCCCGGAGAUGGGCACUGAGACAAGGGCCCAGGCCCUAUGGGGCGCAGCAGGCGCGAAACCUCUGCAAUAGGCGAAAGCUUGACAGGGUUACUCUGAGUGAUGCCCGCUAAGGGCAUCUUUUGGCACCUCUAAAAAUGGUGCAGAAUAAGGGGUGGGCAAGUCUGGUGUACAGCCGCCGAGGUAAUACCAGCACCCGAGUGGUCGGGACGAUUAUUGGGCCUAAAGCAUCCGUAGCUUGUACUGGCAAGUCUCCGGUUAAAUCCCACCUUGCUCAACAGAAUGCGCUGCGGGAGGAUACUACAGGGACUAAGGAAGCAGGAGAGGCACACAGUACUCAAGUGAGUAGGGGUAAAAUCAUCUG